UACGUAGGGUGCAAGCGUUGUCCGGAAUUAUUGGGCGUAAAGAGCUCGUAGGCGGUUUGUCGCGUCGAAUGUGAAAACCCGGGGCUCAACCCCGGGCCUGCAUUCGAUACGGGCAGACUAGAGUUCGGUAGGGGAGUCUGGAAUUCCUGGUGUAGCGGUGAAAUGCGCAGAUAUCAGGAGGAACACCGGUGGCGAAGGCGGGACUCUGGGCCGAUACUGACGCUGAGGAGCGAAAGCGUGGGGGAGCAAACAGG
RNAcentral lists this ribosomal RNA (254 nucleotides) under uncultured bacterium. RNAcentral's name for it is "partial 16S ribosomal RNA". It matches the Rfam family "Bacterial small subunit ribosomal RNA", at positions 524 to 776 of the family's 1533-position model. The record is from RNAcentral.